Molecule: non-coding RNA, 1225 nt
Organism: Ictidomys tridecemlineatus (thirteen-lined ground squirrel)
Lineage: Eukaryota; Metazoa; Chordata; Mammalia; Rodentia; Sciuridae
Source: RefSeq, a predicted model, not a curated record
GUUGAACUGAACAGAGCCAAGAACUGGGUCCCAUGGCCAUGUCCUAGAUCUAGCAAGAAACUGAGGCCUCCAAAAAACAGCUGCAUGGGUGAACUUGGAAGUAAAUACAAACGACUUGACAUUUUGGGUGCAAGCUCAUGAAAGACCCUAGAACAACCUAGCAAAUAUACUGCCAAAUUCUUGACUCGCUGUAAGAUCAGCUGCUCUGGGGGAAACCAGCUGCCAUUUCAUGAGCCUAUGAGCAGCUCUAGGGAGAGGUCAUGUGGCCAGGAAGUAAAGCUUCCAGCCAGCAGUUGUGUGAAGGCUCCAUCUUGGAAGUGGACCUCCAGCCCCAGGUCACUGAAGUGAAUGGGACCUCCUCUACCACGUGCUCCUGUUGUGAUGUACUGUGUUGCCACUGUCCCAAAGUGACCAAGCAACCACAGGCUGGUUUCAGACUGUGAGCCAAAAUAAAACUUUCCACUUUUUAAGUUGUUUAUCUAAGGUAUUUUGUCACAGUGAUGACAAAGCUGACCAAUACAAUGUAUAAAUAUUUCAAUGUCAAGGAGCAGGAGUUGAAGUCAGGCAUUGUGGUUUGUGCCUAUGAUCCUGGCUAUUUGGAAGACUGAGGCAAGAGAAUUGUGAGUUCAAGCUUUUGUUAAACUUCAGUCUUCUUAUCUACAAAAUAAGAAUCUUCCUCUAUUAUACCUCUUAAAUUGCUGUGGAGAUUAAAGAAGCCUAUUUAUGAAGUACUUAACCAGCAUCUGGCACACAAUAUGAAUCAAAUCACUUAUCUUUGGAGAAAAGAUUUAUAAGCAGUUGCUCUUGUACCACUCUACUAUCAACUUCCCACAAAAGGAUGUUUUUCUUUUAUAUUCAAGAUGGCCCUAUCCUCCUGCCAUGUGACAGCACAAUUAGAAGACAACCAUCUGAAAACCAUGAGGACAAUCUUUAUCAAGAACAUAAUCUGUCAGCACCGUGAUCUCCAUGCUCCAGAACUGUGGGAAAUGUUUGUUGUUUAAGCCAUCCAGUUAAUGGUGUUUUGUCAUAGCAGCAUGACCUGACUAAUACAGCACCUUCCCUCCGACAGCCAUCACUUCAGGCAUGUUGAACCAUUCCUUAAAUGUGCCAUCUUCUCCCUGGACUGGACGCUUUGGAAUCUGUAUUUUCUUCUCUUUUUCACAAAACUAACUCCUAUCGACUCACUGUAUUGAGUCAAAUAGGUUAAUAAAAAGAUCACAUAAUG